RNAcentral lists this long non-coding RNA (3415 nucleotides) under Olea europaea subsp. europaea. Lineage: Eukaryota; Viridiplantae; Streptophyta; Magnoliopsida; Lamiales; Oleaceae. The record is from RNAcentral.
UGUAACCCUUUAAUUACUGUUUAUUAACUGGUUCCACAAAUAUCUCUUGUUCAAAAUUGGCUUUUGCUCUCUGUCUCCCACCGCCCCCCUCGGCUUUUGGACGAGCUCCUCUUUAGACCAAACCCCAAGAGGGGGGCUUUUGCACAGAUGCAAUCCAUUUUCUUCUUCUUCUUCUUCUUUUUUAUUUUAUUUUUAGUGUUGAGCUUGCAAAUGGGAAUUUUACAUUAGUUUAGUUAAAACAAGGGGAUAAAGUUCUAGCGAUUUUCGAACGAAUUGGAAGGAAGUUCAGUGGCCUUUAGUGAAGUAUGAGGCUGCGGCAUUCUUUAUCCAGUCCAUUUUCUUCUUCUUCUUCGUCUUCGUCUUUUUUCCUACCUUUACAUUAAAAGAGAGGGUGCCCAGAUCACUAUUCAUCUUGAGGCAAAGGUUUCACAUUUAAUUGGUUCUUCUAUUAUUUAUUUAAACUUAAGAAAAGUCUCAGUAAGGACCAUUAUUGUAGGUAGCUUUGGUUCAUGAACCGUAACUUCAUUCGUCCAUUUCCUUUAUGGAGAAGAUUUGGAUUAUGAUGGUGUGAUUGAGGGUGGAGAGUAAAGCAUUGUUCCAUGGUCGUUGGAGUUGGGUGGAGGCUCCGAUAAAAUCGAAAAUCUGUCACAAAAUUCCCUUUUUUACCUUUUAUAUUUUUUCCUGAACAAUUUCGAAUUUUCUGCAUGCAAGAAAGUGGAAUUAUGUUCACUGCAAUUCUUUGUUUUAAAAUUUCAAGAAUUGGAGUUGGUUGAUAGCUUCACGCUAAGAUAAAGAAGUUUAAUACUCGUUUUUUAGCCAUAAGUUCUCUUGUACACUCUCGUCGUCUCUAUAUGUAUAUGUAAGUAUUAAUUUUGUUUAUGAACACUAAUUUAGUCAUUUGUUCUUCAUACUAGGUAAUCAGUUGAAAAACAAUGAAACUGAUUUUGAUUUAGAAAAGUGGAAUAUAUCAAUAUUGAUUCUCUGGUAGGGCAUUUAUAACUUUUGAGAGAUUGAUCACUUUCAUUUUUGAAUAUGAUUUUAUUUGUAGCAUUGGAACGUAGUGUUUCUUGGAAACAUAAAAUUAAUGUUCGUUCUUCCUUGACUUCAUAUUCCCCUCUCAAAAAAUUUAAAACAAAAUAAAAAUGAAAAAAGAGUCUGAAAUCAGAGACGGUGAACCGAAACCAUCUCUUGGGAAGCUGCAAGGGCAGAUUAAGUUGGUAUUAAUAAUAAUAAUAAUAAUAAUAAUAAUAAUAAUAAUAAUAAUAAAAGAUUAAGAUGGUAUUAACAAUAAUUGGAAUUCAUGUAAAUAAUUUUUGUUCUCCAGAUUCAUCCGCCGUGUUUACUUUAUUUUUGGCGUUUUGGGGAAUUUCCCUAUUGCUCUUUUUAAUUUCCAGAGAAAGGACAGCUCGGAGGAGUCCUGCUUCAAUACCUGUUGCUGUUCUUGAUCUUCAAGAUGGUUCCACUUCAAAACGAGAAAAUUUUCAUUUCUUUCUUUUGUUUCUUGUUUACUUUAGAUAAAUUAUUAAUGGGUUAGCAUUUUUUUACUUAUUCUAAUUCAUUUUUGUUCCUUUUGAAAUGAAUGAUGAUGGAUCGAAAGUGAGAAAAAGAAGAUUGAACUUUCUUGUGCAGUAAAAAUUAAAUCAUCACAAUUGCUUGCUGCCUCUAAAGAGUUACAAAAUCAUCGCAGGUCUUAUGGGGGAUGCUUUCGAAAAAGUAUGGAAGGGUGUUAUUACAACUCCGUGUAAUAGUCGACAACAUUGAUGUGCUUGUUGUAUACAUGAUUGUUAUCGCUACAUCUUCGAUUGAAUUGAGUUGUCUAUUCAUUUUUCUCCUAUAAUGUUGUUAAUCCAUAUUGAUCCAUGAGGCUUUUAUUGAUUGUAAACUAUGUCAACUGAAGGUGAUGUGCCUUCUGAAAUUACUUUUAAGUGGAAUUCAUGAUGUUGGUGUUCUUGAAGCUUCGUUUCGACAACAUUGGUUGAAAGAAAGAGUUUUUGUUUUUCUCUUCACUAGCCUGGAUGUGUUUGCACCAUUGCCCAGCUGAAAACAAAUUGGUGAGUUCCUUUUAAUUUGAAAAAUAUAUGGAAGUUAAUAUUUGGAUGUCUUGAUUAUUAAGUUCGGUACACUUAAUGAAUGUUAAAUCUUGUUACCAUUUAAUAAGCAGAAUUUAUAAUUUGAUUGGUUGAAGUUGUUUCAGACGCUUACUAAACAUGUAAUAAGGAAUUCGUUAUCCAAGUUGGUGAAGUUGACAGGCCUAAAACUACUGAAGUUGGACCUCAAGGGGGAAACAUAAUAACCAACUUGAUUCUAGGUAUGAUUGACCUCAAAACUCCAUAAGUUUUUUUAAAGUCCUUUAGUCUGUAAUGUGUCAUCGCUACUAAAAUGUACUUAAUUAAUAGUGCUUACUCAGUUUGAAGCACGAAGCUUUUAUACUUCUAGCAAAAUAGGAUGCCAGUGGAAAUCUUUUCAGUAAGCAUACUCUUUGUGCUUUUCUUCAUUAAGAGAACUAGAUUAGGCGUCCUAGCCUGUAAGUCACCAUUUGUCUGUUUCUUGUCCUAGAAUACUCUUAAGAUGGAAAUUAAUACCCCUCAACAUAAAUUCAGACUCAGCUACAUCAAUCCUUUCAGCACUCCAUUCAGUUGAUUGUUAUGCGACUAAAUUCUUAAUAACUCCAAGAGACCACAAGUUUUGUUUUUGUGUUAUAAAUGAGGUCCUCUUUAGGUUUAUGCAAGACAUGCCCCAACUAAGCCGUCCCUUUCUUAAUUUUUACUUUACCAGUUUGCUUGCAAUCUCGCUUUUUAUUUAUUCGACCACAUACUCAUCUCGACAUCCUCAUUUUUCGUAACAUUUUUCUUUUGGUCACUUACAACCCCACUCUCAAUAAAAUUUCCUUGUACUCUGUUUUUGAUUCUAUAUAUUUUCUUAAGAACACAUGGUGAAUACAGUUCUGUUUCUUGGAUAUUGUCAAAAACAUGAUGUGAAUUUAUUAAGAAAUAGGAAAGAAGUGAUAAAUUAAUUUUCUCCGCAAUAAAGAUUAUGUCCAAAUCCUCUAUGAUAGUUGAAAGGUUUAGUGAUGUUUAUAAAUGCUAGAAUUAUCAUUUUGCUGUUAUUUUGAAAAACUUUUUUGAAACAUAUAUAUCUACAAUUUUUAUGUAAGUACUAAUAGUUUAGCCAAAAAUGAGUACAUCGAUGGAUAUUUGACAUGUGUGCACGUACAUCUGAAACACUUUUCAGCAAUUUGGGCCUUUGCAGUCAUGUUUGAUAACUCUGUAAACACUACAUUUGUGAAGUUUGUAUACUCACUACACUGUUCUCUGCAUCAAACACUACUGUCAUUACUUACGUUUUUGGAAAGGGUUAUAGGAAUCUGGACCAGGGCUUGUAGCAGCUUUGUUGAUUGCCAUUUCGCCUGGUUACA